UGGGGAAUAUUGCGCAAUGGGGGGAACCCUGACGCAGCCAUGCCGCGUGAAUGAAGAAGGCCUUAGGGUUGUAAAGUUCUUUCGGUAUUGAGGAAGGUUGAUGUGUUAAUAGCACAUCAAAUUGACGUUAAAUACAGAAGAAGCACCGGCUAACUCCGUGCCAGCAGCCGCGGUAAUACGGAGGGUGCGAGCGUUAAUCGGAAUAACUGGGCGUAAAGGGCACGCAGGCGGUUAUUUAAGUGAGGUGUGAAAGCCUCGGGCUUAACCUGGGAAUUGCAUUUCAGACUGGGUAACUAGAGUACUUUAGGGAGGGGUAGAAUUCCACAUGUAGCGGUGAAAUGCGUAGAGAUGUGGAGGAAUACCGAAGGCGAAGGCAGCCCCUUGGGAAUGUACUGACGCUCAUGUGCGAAAGCGUGGGGAGCAAACAGGAUUAGAUACCCUGGUAGUCCACGCUGUAAACGCUGUCGAUUUGGGGGUUGGGGUUUAACUCUGGCGCCCGUAGCUAACGUGAUAAAUCGACCGCCUGGGGAGUACGGCCGCAAGGUUA
This 547-nucleotide ribosomal RNA is filed under the name uncultured bacterium. RNAcentral describes it as "bacterial SSU rRNA". It matches the Rfam family "Bacterial small subunit ribosomal RNA", at positions 355 to 896 of the family's 1533-position model. The record is from RNAcentral.